RNAcentral lists this ribosomal RNA (497 nucleotides) under uncultured bacterium. RNAcentral describes it as "partial 16S ribosomal RNA". It matches the Rfam family "Bacterial small subunit ribosomal RNA", at positions 28 to 507 of the family's 1533-position model. The record is from RNAcentral.
GAUGAACGCUGGCGGCGUGCCUAAUACAUGCAAGUCGAGCGAACAGACGAGGAGCUUGCUCCUCUGACGUUAGCGGCGGACGGGUGAGUAACGCGUGGAUAACCUACCUAUAAGACUGGGAUAACUUCGGGAAACCGGAGCUAAUACCGGAUAAUAUAUUGAACCGCAUGGUUCAAUAGUGAAAGACGGUUUUGCUGUCACUUAUAGAUGGAUCCGCGCCGCAUUAGCUAGUUGGUAAGGUAACGGCUUACCAAGGCAACGAUGCGUAGCCGACCUGAGAGGGUGAGCGGCCACACUGGAACUGAGACACGGUCCAGACUCCUACGGGAGGCAGCAGUAGGGAAUCUUCCGCAAUGGGCGAAAGCCUGACGGAGCAACGCCGCGUGAGUGAUGAAGGUCUUCGGAUCGUAAAACUCUGUUAUUAGGGAAGAACAAAUGUGUAAGUAACUAUGCACGUCUUGACGGUACCUAAUCAGAAAGCCACGGCUAACUACGUG